UAGGGAAUCUUCCGCAAUGGGCGAAAGCUUGACGGAGCAACGCCGCGUGAGUGAUGAAGGUCUUCGGAUCGUAAAACUCUGUUAUUAGGUAAGAACAAAUGUGUAAGUAACUAUGCACGUCUUGACGGUACCUAAUCAGAAAGCCACGGCUAACUACGUGCCAGCAGCCGCGGUAAUACGUAGGUGGCAAGCGUUAUCCGGAAUUAUUGGGCGUAAAGCGCGCGUAGGCGGUUUUUUAAGUCUGAUGUGGAAGCCCACGGCUCAACCGUGGAGGGUCAUUGGAAACUGGAAAACUUGAGUGCAGAAGAGGAAAGUGGAAUUCCAUGUGUAGCGGUGAAAUGCGCAGGGAUAUGGAGGAACACCAGUGGCGAAGGCGACUUUCUGGUCUGUAACUGACGCUGAUGUGCGAAAGCGUGGGGAUCAAACAGG
RNAcentral lists this ribosomal RNA (429 nucleotides) under Bacteroidota bacterium. RNAcentral describes it as "Bacteroidetes bacterium partial 16S ribosomal RNA". It matches the Rfam family "Bacterial small subunit ribosomal RNA", at positions 355 to 776 of the family's 1533-position model. Lineage: Bacteria; Pseudomonadati; Bacteroidota. The record is from RNAcentral.